CCUACGGGUGGCUGCAGUGGGGAAUAUUGCACAAUGGGGGAAACCCUGAUGCAGCAACGCCGCGUGAGUGAAGAAGGUUUUCGGAUUGUAAAGCUCUGUUAGCAGGGAAGAGGAAGGACGGUACCUGCAGAGGAAGCCACGGCUAACUACGUGCCAGCAGCCGCGGUAAUACGUAGGUGGCAAGCGUUGUUCGGAAUAACUGGGCGUAAAGGAUGCGUAGGUGGUUUAGUAAGUUGGCGGUGUAAUUCCGGGGCUCAACCUCGGCGCUACCGCCAAAACUAUUAGACUAGAGGGCAGGAGGGGUAAGUGGAAUUCCUAGGGUAGCGGUGGAAUGCGUAGAUAUUAGGAGGAACAUCAGGGGCGAAGGCGACUUACUGGACUGUAACUGACACUGAGGCACGAAAGCGUGGGGAGCAAACAGGAUUAGAUACCCCUGUAGUCC
RNAcentral lists this ribosomal RNA (442 nucleotides) under uncultured bacterium. RNAcentral describes it as "partial 16S ribosomal RNA". It matches the Rfam family "Bacterial small subunit ribosomal RNA", at positions 338 to 796 of the family's 1533-position model. The record is from RNAcentral.